This 1157-nucleotide unclassified non-coding RNA is filed under the name Cimex lectularius (bed bug). Its description in RNAcentral is "homeobox protein SIX2-like, transcript variant X5". The record is from RNAcentral. Lineage: Eukaryota; Metazoa; Arthropoda; Insecta; Hemiptera; Cimicidae.
UAUGCCGUUCGUUGGUGACGUCCUAUGUCCGAGGGCCGUGACGUCGUGUCAUUCACAUACUGAAGAGUGAGAAACGAAAUGCGACUGUCCACGUUUGACAUGUGACCCGUUUCGAUCCGGGGUUCGGACUAUGUAGAUAAAUGUUAUGGUGAAUUCUCCGUGAGUGAGGUUUUUAGACUAGUGGACGCCGGGUUGAGGUACUGGAUUGUCGAUCGGAAGAAAUGCUCGGGGCUCAGCAGUCGCCGUCCGGAGGUGGGCCUCUUCUUCCCAGUUUCGGAUUCACGCAGGACCAGGUCGCCUGCGUCUGCGAAGUCCUCCAGCAGGCCGGCAACAUGGACAGGCUGGGCAGGUUCCUCUGGUCGCUGCCCGCCUGCGAAAAACUCCACAGCAACGAGAGCGUCCUCAAAGCGAAGGCCAUGGUCGCCUUCCACAGAGGCAAUUUCAAAGAACUAUAUAGGAUUUUAGAAAGCCAUCAGUUUUCAGUGCACAACCACGCCAAACUCCAGGCUCUAUGGCUCAAGGCGCAUUACGUCGAAGCGGAAAAACUGAGGGGGAGACCUCUCGGCGCCGUCGGCAAAUACAGAGUACGACGGAAAUUCCCCCUGCCUAGGACCAUCUGGGACGGAGAAGAGACCUCUUACUGCUUCAAAGAGAAAUCCAGAUCCGUUUUAAGGGAUUGGUAUGCUCACAACCCCUAUCCCAGCCCGAGGGAGAAAAGGGAACUGGCCGAAGCGACCGGCCUCACCACCACACAAGUCUCAAAUUGGUUCAAAAACAGGCGGCAACGUGAUAGAGCCGCAGAACACAAAGACGGAUUCCAGAAUGUUUCAAAUGAAACGAAUAUAAGUCGAGAAUUUGUCAAAUCAUCAACGGAUGAAACAUUCUGUAAUUAUUUCUGAUAAUUAGUGCGAAGGAUGGGAGUGAACGACAAAAAGCCUUAAAAAUAGAUGGCCAAUAAAAGAAAUAUCGAUACGAACGGGCAAAGGAUGCCAAAGAAAAAUAGACGCUAAAAAAUCGUCAGAAACAGUACCGCCUGUAGACAGUGGUUUUCGAUGUACGGAAUUUGGAGAUACAAAAAAAGUACAAAUAGAAAUAUUUGAAAACAAAAUACAAAAUCACCCACACAAUUAUACACACGCACAUAAAAAAAAACACAU